UGGGGAAUUUUGGACAAUGGGGGCAACCCUGAUCCAGCCAUGCCGCGUGAGUGAAGAAGGCCUUCGGGUUGUAAAGCUCUUUCGGCCGGGAAGAAAUCGUAUGGGUUAAUACCCUGUGCGGAUGACGGUACCGGCAUAAGAAGCACCGGCUAACUACGUGCCAGCAGCCGCGGUAAUACGUAGGGUGCGAGCGUUAAUCGGAAUUACUGGGCGUAAAGCGUGCGCAGGCGGUUUUGUAAGACAGGCGUGAAAUCCCCGGGCUCAACCUGGGAACUGCGCUUGUGACUGCAAGGCUAGAGUAUGGCAGAGGGGGGUGGAAUUCCACGUGUAGCAGUGAAAUGCGUAGAGAUGUGGAGGAACACCAAUGGCGAAGGCAGCCCCCUGGGCCAAUACUGACGCUCAUGCACGAAAGCGUGGGUAGCAAACAGG
This 429-nucleotide ribosomal RNA is filed under the name uncultured bacterium. Its description in RNAcentral is "bacterial SSU rRNA". It matches the Rfam family "Bacterial small subunit ribosomal RNA", at positions 355 to 776 of the family's 1533-position model. RNAcentral also lists the same sequence under 1 other name. The record is from RNAcentral.